Molecule: non-coding RNA, 358 nt
Organism: Salvelinus sp. IW2-2015
Lineage: Eukaryota; Metazoa; Chordata; Actinopteri; Salmoniformes; Salmonidae
Source: RefSeq, a predicted model, not a curated record
GAAAACAAAUUGCACGGCGAACUGGGAGCUGUGAACUGGGAAGCAGAUGUUCUUCUCAGGGACAGCCUAGAGGCAGCAAGGUGGUGCGAACGCCAAACAGAUGUUCUUCUCAGGGACAGCCUAGAGGCAGCAAGGUGGUGCGAACGCCAAACAGAUGUUCUUCUCAGGGACAGCCUAGAGGCAGCAAGGUGGUGCGAACGCCAAACAGAUGUUCUUCUCAGGGACAGCCUAGAGGCAGCAAGGUGGUGCGAACGCCAAACAUUUAAAGGCACCGUUUCCCUCCCUAGUGUAAUUGGGAUGGACGGGGAAGACCGUAUUACAACUCUUAAAGAACUACGGUUGUAUGAUGGCCUGGAUG